RNAcentral lists this ribosomal RNA (479 nucleotides) under uncultured bacterium. Its description in RNAcentral is "bacterial SSU rRNA". It matches the Rfam family "Bacterial small subunit ribosomal RNA", at positions 26 to 518 of the family's 1533-position model. The record is from RNAcentral.
CUCGAGGACGAACGCUGGCGGCGUGCCUAACACGUGCAAGUCGAGCGAGGAGAUCCUCGGGAUGAUCCUAGCGGCGGACGGGUGAGUAACACGUGGGCAACCUGCCUCAUAGAGAGGAAUAGCCUUCCGAAAGGGAGAUUAAUACCUCAUAACAUUGCAGUUUCGCAUGGAACAGCAAUUAAAGGAGUAAUCCGCUAUGAGAUGGGCCCGCGGCGCAUUAGGCUAGUUGGUGAGGUAACGGCUCACCAAGGCGACGAUGCGUAGCCGACCUGAGAGGGUGAUCGGCCACAUUGGGACUGAGACACGGCCCAGACUCCUACGGGAGGCAGCAGUGGGGAAUAUUGCACAAUGGGGGAAACCCUGAUGCAAGCAACGCCGCGUGAGUGAUGACGGCCUUCGGGUUGUAAAGCUCUGUCUUCAGGGACGAUAAUGACGGUACCUGAGGAGGAAGCCACGGCUAACUACGUGCCAGCAGCCGC